Long non-coding RNA from Diceros bicornis minor, 528 nucleotides. RefSeq lists it as uncharacterized. The record is from RefSeq and is a predicted model, not a curated record. Lineage: Eukaryota; Metazoa; Chordata; Mammalia; Perissodactyla; Rhinocerotidae. The transcript has 3 exons.
CUCCAAUGGCAUCUGUGUCAGCACGCCCACACCAGGCCACAACAAUGGCCACCGCCAAUGUCCCAGUCCCUGGAGAGGUCUCACCCCUCACCGAGAUGCACUCAGGGCCUAUUAGCCAUUUCUUUGCUAGAAACCACACAAGUUCCGGAAUCUAGUGAAGUGGAAGAUGAAGGAUGACCAUAGGGAGUGUGUCCAGAUCAGUGAAGGAUCUUCCUGAGCUUUUCAAUCCGAGGUCAUCAUGAUGCCUCAUUAUGGAAAAAUCCCAGAAACUUCUCCUCCCUCCAGCAAAAGAACGACAUGCACUUUCAUCCUGCAGAUUUCAGAAUUGAUUCUCUGUGCUGCUAGCAUUCUCCAUAUCCCACGGAGUUGUGCACUAAAAUCCAGAGCAAUGAAUGCACCUAUGAAAAAUGAUGCUUUCGAGCCUGCCGCAUGGUGCAGUAAAUUUGCAAGUACUCUUAAUAAUAAUAAGGAUCAACAUUGACUUUAAUGGUCCUCAAAUCCGUAACGUGAUUUCAUUAGCCACCCAGC